CAGGUCUGGAAGUCUGGAGCGCAGAUUCACUCCUUGCAUCCCAGCAUUGAAGUCGCCAUCUUGCCUCAGAGAGCCGGCAGAGCCAUCAAGCUGAAGACGCUCUCAUCCAGAAACACUGAAAGGUCAGUUCAUUCACACUCUGUUUACUCCUCUCAGCGAGUUAGGAUGAAGCCCACGCUUGAGAAGACAACAGGAUGAGUGAGCAGUAUGUGGACAUAUUCAGUGAUAAUAAAAAAAAA
Non-coding RNA from Danio rerio (zebrafish), 239 nucleotides. The record is from RefSeq and is a predicted model, not a curated record. Lineage: Eukaryota; Metazoa; Chordata; Actinopteri; Cypriniformes; Danionidae.